RNAcentral lists this ribosomal RNA (292 nucleotides) under uncultured bacterium. Its description in RNAcentral is "partial 16S ribosomal RNA". It matches the Rfam family "Bacterial small subunit ribosomal RNA", at positions 505 to 796 of the family's 1533-position model. The record is from RNAcentral.
GUUUCAGCCGCCGCGGUAAUACGGAGGGUGCGAGCGUUGUUCGGAAUUAUUGGGCGUAAAGCGCGUGCAGGCGGUUUUGCAAGUCUGAUGUGAAAGCCCCGGGCCUAACCUGGGAAGUGCAUUGGAAACUGCAAGACUUGAGUACGGGAGAGGAGAGUGGAAUUCCUGGAGUAGGGGUGAAAUCCGUAGAUAUCAGGAAGAACACCGGUGGCGAAGGCGGCUCUCUGGACCGAUACUGACGCUGAGACGCGAAAGCGUGGGUAGCAAACAGGAUUAGAAACCCUAGUAGUCC